AUUGAACGCUGGCGGCAUGCCUUACACAUGCAAGUCGAACGGUAACAGGUCUUCGGAUGCUGACGAGUGGCGAACGGGUGAGUAAUACAUCGGAACGUGCCCAGACGUGGGGGAUAACGAGGCGAAAGCUUUGCUAAUACCGCAUACGAUCUAAGGUUGAAAGCAGGGGACCGCAAGGCCUUGCGCGUUUGGAGCGGCCGAUGGCAGCUUAGGUAGUUGGUGGGAUAAAAGCUUACCAAGCCGACGAUCUGUAGCUGGUCUGAGAGGACGACCAGCCACACUGGGACUGAGACACGGCCCAGACUCCUGCGGGAGGCAGCAGUGGGGAAUUUUAGGCAAGGGGGGAAAGCCUGAUCCAGCAAUGCCGCGUGCAGGAUGAAGGCCUUCGGGUUGUAAAGUGCUUUUGUACGGAGCGAAAAGGCUCUGGCUAAUACCUGGGGCACAUGACGGUACCGGAAGAAUAAGCACCGGCUAACUACGUG
This 482-nucleotide ribosomal RNA is filed under the name uncultured bacterium. RNAcentral describes it as "partial 16S ribosomal RNA". It matches the Rfam family "Bacterial small subunit ribosomal RNA", at positions 30 to 507 of the family's 1533-position model. The record is from RNAcentral.